ACUUUACUUUCCUGCACAAUUAGCACCAUUUAGUGUCCAUUAUGUGUUAUAUCUUUUACUAAAAUAUUUUUCAGGUAGGUAACAUUGGUGGGAAAGAAUUUUCUGAGUCACUAGCCCCAGAUGUCCAGAAACUUCUUAUUUCAAGUAGUGGCCGUCCUGUUGUCAGAAAGAAGGCUGCUCUAUGCCUUCUGCAGCUUUAUAGGAAGAAUCCUGAUGUUGUGAAUAUUGAUGUCUGGUAGUAAUAUUAUAGAAUAUAGAAGUACUACAUAAUACUCUACCAAAUAUAAUAUGCUAAUUGGAUUCUGCAUAUCAGGGCUGAUCGAAUGGCACAACUUCUAGAUGAGCGCUACCUAGGUGUGCUGACAUCUGUCAUGACUCAUGACCCUUUUUGUUUCAUUAGUAUCCAACAAUGCGGAAGCAUAUUGGAAUUGCCUUCCAGAAUGUGUAAGAAUUAAUACUGGAGAGGCUAGCAAGAAAUCAAGAUAUUCCACAGGAAUACACUUACUACGGAAUCCCAUCUCCUUAGCUUCAGGGAUGAUGUGGCUCUGGAAAUCCUCCAACAUGAUCCCUUCACGGUAAAAUAGUUGCAGUUCUCUCAGACUUGCAUUUUAUUCUUCGGCUAAGGAUGUUGUGCAUGUAUUUUCAUCUUUUUACAAAUCUGAUUGUCUCAUGUCUUGUUGACAUUUUGCAUGAUCUUCUGAAUUUUGAAGUCAUGUAUGUUCUGUCCAAUUUCCAUGUAAUAAGUCACAUUGUUAAUAUCUAGGAUCAUAUCAAGUGCCCAGCCAGAGAGUAAUGGGCAGCUUGUUAAGUUUGCUACAGAGAGAGGCUCAAAAACUAGGCUUGAUGUAUGAACUCUUUGUUUUAAUCUUGAUGUAUGAACCCUUUCGUUUAAUCUCGAUGUAUGAGCUCAUGUGAUUGAAUUCUGCUGCUAUAAUGAUAUAUUAUAUAUGUUGUACAAA
Panicum virgatum (switchgrass) is the source of this 959-nucleotide long non-coding RNA. RefSeq lists it as uncharacterized. NCBI's taxonomy places the organism in Eukaryota, Viridiplantae, Streptophyta, Magnoliopsida, Poales, Poaceae. The record is from RefSeq and is a predicted model, not a curated record. The transcript has 3 exons.